CUACGGGCGGCAGCAGUGAGGAAUAUUGGUCAAUGGGCGAAAGCCUGAACCAGCCAUGCCGCGUGAAGGAUGACGGCCCUAUGGGUUGUAAACUUCUUUUAUACGGGAAGAAACACCUCUACGUGUAGAGGUUUGACGGUACCGUACGAAUAAGCAUCGGCUAACUCCGUGCCAGCAGCCGCGGUAAUACGGAGGAUGCAAGCGUUAUCCGGAUUUAUUGGGUGUAAAGGGUACGUAGGCGGAAACUUAGGUCAGUAGUGAAAUCCCGCAGCUUAACUGUGGAACUGUUAUUAAUACUGGGUUUCUUGAAUAUUGUUGGGGUAGGCGGAAUAAGUAAUGUAGCGGUGAAAUGCUUAGAUAUUACUUAGAACACCGAUUGCGAAGGCAGCUUACUAAGCAAUUAUUGACGCUGAGGUACGAAAGCGUGGGGAGCGAACAGGAUUAGAUACCCUAGUAGUC
This 459-nucleotide ribosomal RNA is filed under the name uncultured bacterium. RNAcentral's name for it is "partial 16S ribosomal RNA". It matches the Rfam family "Bacterial small subunit ribosomal RNA", at positions 339 to 795 of the family's 1533-position model. The record is from RNAcentral.